UACGAAGGGGGCUAGCGUUGUUCGGAUUUACUGGGCGUAAAGCGCGUGUAGGCGGGUCGUUAAGUUGGGGGUGAAAUCCCGAGGCUCAACCUCGGAACUGCCUCCAAAACUGGCGACCUGGAGCAAGAUAGAGGCAAGUGGAAUUCCGAGUGUAGAGGCGAAAUUCGUAGAUAUUCGGAGGAACACCAGUGGCGAAGGCGACUUGCUGGAUCUUUGCUGACGCUGAGACGCGAAAGCGUGGGGAGCAAACAGG
This 253-nucleotide ribosomal RNA is filed under the name uncultured bacterium. RNAcentral's name for it is "partial 16S ribosomal RNA". It matches the Rfam family "Bacterial small subunit ribosomal RNA", at positions 524 to 776 of the family's 1533-position model. The record is from RNAcentral.